GUAAUUUUAUCAAGGGAAGAUGAUUAUGAAGCUGAAACACGUGAUGAAGAUGAUGGCAGUGGUGACUACACAGAUGAAGACAACCAACCCCCUCUUUCCUCCUCAGCUGCCAACAACAUCAGGGGUUCCUCUCGCUCCUCUUCCACAGCUAACCUCAACCACCUCUUUCUGGUUUCUGUUCUCUUAGUUUUGUGCCUGUUCGCAUAUUAAAAUGCAUAUUUUAUUAUGUUUGUCGUAACAUUUGUUAAACUGGCUACUGUACAUGUAACACAUAUGGCUAACACAUAAGGCAUUAAGGCGACUGUACUUGUAACACAUUGUAAACUUUAAUAAACCGUUAAGCCAUCUGCUCGAUCCUUAUUGGGUCAUAUCAAGCUUGUUGCGAGGAAUCUUGGUAUCUGGUUUGACAGUAAUUGAGCUUUUGAGCCGCAAACCACAAAGCUUGUGCAAUCAUGUUUUUAUCAUAGAUAUAUAUCGAAAAUACAAUCUAUAUAAACUUUUAAGGACACUGAGACCAUUUUACACGCCUUCAUCUCAUCAUGCCUGGAUUGCUGCAACAGCCUUUUUACUUGCUUGAACCAAAAAUCUAUUGAUGGACUCCAGACUGUGCAGAACUCAGUUGCCAGGCUUUCAAGCAGAACCAAGAAACGUGAUCACAUCGCUCCUGGCUACUGUACAUGUAACACAUAUGGCUAACACAUAAGGCAUUAAGGCGACUGUACUUGUAACACAUUGUAAACUUUAAUAAACCGUUAAGUGAAAA
Molecule: long non-coding RNA, 763 nt
Organism: Micropterus dolomieu (smallmouth bass)
Lineage: Eukaryota; Metazoa; Chordata; Actinopteri; Centrarchiformes; Centrarchidae
Exons: 2
Source: RefSeq, a predicted model, not a curated record